UGUUGGUCUAUGUAGAUUAUUUUUGA
This 26-nucleotide transfer RNA is filed under the name Hymenolepis folkertsi. RNAcentral describes it as "partial tRNA-Asn". The record is from RNAcentral. Lineage: Eukaryota; Metazoa; Platyhelminthes; Cestoda; Cyclophyllidea; Hymenolepididae.